CCCUUAGAUGUCCUGGGCCGCACGCGCGCUACACUGAUGCAUGCAACGAGUAUAUAACCUUGGCCUGAAAGGCCUGGGUAAUCUUUUGAACGUGCAUCGUGAUAGGGAUAGAUUAUUGCAAUUAUUAAUCUUGAACGAGGAAUUCCUAGUAAACGCGAGUCAUCAGCUCGCAUUGAUUACGUCCCUGCCCUUUGUACACACCGCCCGUCGCUACUACCGAUUGAACGUUUUAGUGAGGCAUUUGGACCGACGCAUCUCAGUUUAACCGCUGGUUUGUGUUGGAAAGACUUCCAAACUUGAGCGUUUAGAGGAAGUAAAAGUCGUAACA
RNAcentral lists this ribosomal RNA (328 nucleotides) under uncultured eukaryote. RNAcentral's name for it is "partial 18S ribosomal RNA". It matches the Rfam family "Eukaryotic small subunit ribosomal RNA", at positions 1470 to 1796 of the family's 1831-position model. The record is from RNAcentral.